AUUCUGUAGCAAGGUUAACCGUAUAGGGGAGCCGCAGGGAAACCGAGUCUUAACUGGGCGUUAAGUUGCAGGGUAUAGACCCGAAACCCGGUGAUCUAGCCAUGGGCAGGUUGAAGGUUGGGUAACACUAACUGGAGGACCGAACCGACUAAUGUUGAAAAAUUAGCGGAUGACUUGUGGCUGGGGGUGAAAGGCCAAUCAAACCGGGAGAUAGCUGGUUCUCCCCGAAAGCUAUUUAGGUAGCGCCUCGUGAACUCAUCUUCGGGGGUAGAGCACUGUUUCGGCUAGGGGGUCAUCCCGACUUACCAACCCGAUGCAAACUACGAAUACCGAAGAAUGUUAUCACGGGAGACACACGGCGGGUGCUAACGUCCGUCGUGAAGAGGGAAACAACCCAGACCGCCAGCUAAGGUCCCAAAGUCAUGGUUAAGUGGGAAACGAUGUGGGAAGGCACAGACAGCCAGGAUGUUGGCUUAGAAGCAGCCAUCAUUUAAAGAAAGCGUAAUAGCUCACUGGUCGAGUCGGCCUGCGCGGAAGAUGUAACGGGGCUAAACCAUGCACCGAAGCUGCGGCAGCGACACUAUGUGUUGUUGGGUAGGGGAGCGUUCUGUAAGCCUGCGAAGGUGUGCUGUGAGGCAUGCUGGAGGUAUCAGAAGUGCGAAUGCUGACAUAAGUAACGAUAAAGCGGGUGAAAAGCCCGCUCGCCGGAAGACCAAGGGUUCCUGUCCAACGUUAAUCGGGGCAGGGUGAGUCGACCCCUAAGGCGAGGCCGAAAG
This 776-nucleotide ribosomal RNA is filed under the name Klebsiella pneumoniae. RNAcentral describes it as "bacterial LSU rRNA". It matches the Rfam family "Bacterial large subunit ribosomal RNA", at positions 632 to 1408 of the family's 2925-position model. The record is from RNAcentral. Lineage: Bacteria; Pseudomonadati; Pseudomonadota; Gammaproteobacteria; Enterobacterales; Enterobacteriaceae.